Long non-coding RNA from Choloepus didactylus (southern two-toed sloth), 1260 nucleotides. RefSeq lists it as uncharacterized. Lineage: Eukaryota; Metazoa; Chordata; Mammalia; Pilosa; Megalonychidae. The record is from RefSeq and is a predicted model, not a curated record. The transcript has 3 exons.
AGCAGAGGAAGUGGGCUGUACACCCACAGAAACAGGGCAUGGCACUACACCCUGAAAAGUCCUCCCUACACAGGGACAACUUUCUCUGGACGCUUCUGCACAAACAUGUCUUAGAUAUCUAAGGAAGUGAGAUCAAUAUCAUCCUCCGCUGGGAACUAUAGUUUUAAAAUACAGACAAGCUGCAUUGUGGUUCCAGAUACACUGGCCUCCUGCAGUUCCUUGAAACCUCCACCUCAGGCCUUCAUGCAUAGUGCUUCCACUGCUUGGAAGCAGCUUCCCCCAGAUUACCACAGGACUUGCUCUCUCACCUCUUUUAGGUCUUUGUUCCAAGGUCAACUUUGCAAUGAUGCUUUCCUUGACUUCCUCACAAACUCCCUAUGCCUCUUUCCUAGUUUCUUAUCUUUGUGGUAUGUAUUACCAUAAAACAAACAAAAACUUUGUUUAUUGUUUCUCUGUAAUAGAAUGUAAGCUCUAUGAGAGUAGAGAUUUUUGUCUAUUGUAGGGGUUGGCAAAAUUUUUCUGUGAAAAUGUCAGCAAAUUCUUCAGGCUUUGUGGGCUGUGCAGUUUCUGUAGCAACUACUUAACUCUGCCAUUACAGAGCGGCGAUAGGCAAUACGUGAGUGAAUGGGCAUGGCUGUGUUCCAGUAAAACUUUAUUUACAAAAACAGAUGCUGAGCCAGGCUUGGCCUGUGGACACUAGUCUGCUGACCCCUGGUCUAUUGUGUUCAUUGCUCUAACCUCAAUAGCUACAAGAGUGCCUGGCAAAUAGUAGGUGCUCAAUAAAUACUUAUUCUUGUCUUUGGAUUGAGCUACUAGUGAAAAUGGAAUUAAGCACAAAUCUUAUUGAAAAGGUUAGACAAAUGAGGAUCCUGCACUAAUGAGGGAACAGUGUGAUCUCUUUCAUUACUAAACUUUUAGAUAAGAACUGACAGCAAGGUGUGGGAUUAAUUAUGUAUAAAAUAUUUGAAUUUUUUUUAGGGUCUGAUAUGUUUUAGGGGUUUUUAAUUUGUUAAGGUUGCUGUAAAGAACAUAGGAGAUAAAACGUUUGUAAGCAAUUUGAAAUUAUUUAAAAAUAAUUUUAAAAAUGAAAAUAUGCACAAAUACUAACAGAACAAAUGAUCAUUUUUCCACAGCGCAGAAUUACAACUGGGAAUAUCGCGCAAUAUUUUCUUCAAUUCUUUUUUUUAAAAUAAAUAAAAUGGUACAGAUUAAAUGGAAUUCCUUUUGACCACUUCUAGUCCUAUUUUCUUCACAUCUCCC